GGAAGUAAAAGUCGUAAUAAGGUUUCCGUAGGUGAACCUGCGGAAGGAUCAUUACAGAGUUCAUGCCCUCACGGGUAGAUUUCCCACCCUUGAAUAUUUAUACCUUAGUUGCUUUGGCAGGCCGUGGAAACACCAUGGGCUCCGGCUUAUGCGUGCCUGCCAGAGGAAACAAACUCUGUUUUUAGUGAUGUCUGAGUACUAUAUAAUAGUUAGAACUUUCAACAACGGAUCUCUUGGUUCUG
This 242-nucleotide unclassified non-coding RNA is filed under the name plant metagenome. RNAcentral's name for it is "partial contains small subunit ribosomal RNA, internal transcribed spacer 1, and 5.8S ribosomal RNA". The stretch from base 1 to 54 matches the Rfam family "Eukaryotic small subunit ribosomal RNA", at positions 1778 to 1831 of the family's 1831-position model. The record is from RNAcentral.